This 391-nucleotide unclassified non-coding RNA is filed under the name soil metagenome. RNAcentral describes it as "partial contains 5.8S ribosomal RNA, internal transcribed spacer 2, and large subunit ribosomal RNA". The stretch from base 1 to 122 matches the Rfam family "5.8S ribosomal RNA", at positions 35 to 154 of the family's 154-position model. The record is from RNAcentral.
GAUGAAGAACGCAGCGAAAUGCGAUACUUGGUGUGAAUUGCAGAAUCCCGUGAACCAUCGAGUCUUUGAACGCAAGUUGCGCCCGAAGCCACUAGGCCGAGGGCACGCCUGCCUGGGCGUCACACGCCGUUGCCCCCCCAUCUACUCCUUCGGGAUUGCGGGGGGGCGGAUGAUGGCCUCCCGUGCGCCUAGCCGCGCGGUUGGCAUAAAUACCAAGUCCUCGGCGACGCACGCCACGACAAUCGGUGGUUGCGAAACCUCGGUUGCCCGUCGUGUGCGUUCGUCGCGCAUCGAGGGCUCGAAAAAAUGCUCGGCUCCGGCUGGGCUUUCAACGCGACCCCAGGUCAGGCGGGGUUACCCGCUGAAUUUAAGCAUAUCAAAAAGCGGAGGA